Molecule: long non-coding RNA, 213 nt
Filed under: Homo sapiens (human)
Lineage: Eukaryota; Metazoa; Chordata; Mammalia; Primates; Hominidae
Description: HSALNT0216466
Source: RNAcentral
UCAUACAUAAAAGAGCGUCAAAUCAUCAAUAUUACCAGCCCACCAAUAAAGAUGUUGUUACUGAUGUGUAUCGAUUCUUUUCUAGAGUUAAUUUUGGCCCACUGAAGAACAAAGACCAAAUGACAAAGAAUGGCCAAGAGAAGGGAAGGGCUGCCACCAGAAGACAAGUGACUUCAAAGAAUUUCUGGGAGAUAAAAAUCUGACAGCAGUACA